UAGGGAAUCUUCGGCAAUGGACGAAAGCCUGACCGAGCAACGCCGCGCGAGUGAAGAAGGUUUUCGGAUCGUAAAACUCUGUUGUUAGAGAAGAACAAGGACGUUAGUAACUGAACGUCCCCUGACGGUAUCUAACCAGAAAGCCACGGCUAACUACGUGCCAGCAGCCGCGGUAAUACGUACGUGGCAAGCGUUGUCCGGAUUUAUUGGGCGUAAAGCGAGCGCAGGCGGUUUCUUAAGUCUGAUGUGAAAGCCCCCGGCUCAACCGGGGAGGGUCAUUGGAAACUGGGAGACUUGAGUGCAGAAGAGGAGAGUGGAAUUCCAUGUGUAGCGGUGAAAUGCGUAGAUAUAUGGAGGAACACCAGUAGCGAAGGCGGCUCUCUGGUCUGUAACUGACGCUGAGGCUCGAAAGCGUGGGGAGCAAACAGG
This 429-nucleotide ribosomal RNA is filed under the name Gemmatimonadota bacterium. RNAcentral's name for it is "Gemmatimonadetes bacterium partial 16S ribosomal RNA". It matches the Rfam family "Bacterial small subunit ribosomal RNA", at positions 355 to 776 of the family's 1533-position model. The record is from RNAcentral. Lineage: Bacteria; Pseudomonadati; Gemmatimonadota.